Molecule: ribosomal RNA, 906 nt
Filed under: uncultured bacterium
Lineage: Bacteria
Description: bacterial SSU rRNA
Rfam family: Bacterial small subunit ribosomal RNA
Source: RNAcentral
CAUAUGGAUUGUGUCAGCAGCCGCGCGGUAAUACGGGAGUGGCAAGCGUUAUCCGGAAUUAUUGGGCGUAAAGCGUCCGCAGGCGGCCCUUCAAGUCUGCUGUUAAAAAGUGGAGCUUAACUCCAUCAUGGCAGUGGAAACUGUUGGGCUUGAGUGUGGUAGGGGCAGAGGGAAUUCCCGGUGUGGCGGUGAAAUGCGUAGAUAUCGGGAAGAACACCAGUGGCGAAGGCGCUCUGCUGGGCCAUCACUGACGCUCAUGGACGAAAGCCAGGGGAGCGAAAGGGAUUAGAUACCCCUGUAGUCCUGGCCGUAAACGAUGAACACUAGGUGUCGGGGGAAUCGACCCCCUCGGUGUCGUAGCCAACGCGUUAAGUGUUCCGCCUGGGGAGUACGCACGCAAGUGUGAAACUCAAAGGAAUUGACGGGGGCCCGCACAAGCGGUGGAGUAUGUGGUUUAAUUCGAUGCAACGCGAAGAACCUUACCAGGGUUUGACAUCCUGCGAAUCUCUUGGAAACGAGAGAGUGCCUUCGGGAACGCAGUGACAGAUGGUGCAUGGCUGUCGUCAGCUCGUGUCGUGAGAUGUUGGGUUAAGUCCCGCAACGAGCGCAACCCACGUCUUUAGUUGCCAGCAUUUAGUUGGGCACUCUAGAGAGACUGCCGGUGAUAAACCGGAGGAAGGUGUGGAUGACGUCAAGUCAUCAUGCCCCUUACAUCCUGGGCUACACACGUACUACAAUGCUACGGACAGAGGGCUGCAAGUUCGCGAGGACAAGCAAAUCCCAUAAACCGUGGCUCAGUUCAGAUCGUAGGCUGCAACUCGCCUACGUGAAGGCGGAAUCGCUAGUAAUCGCAGGUCAGCAUACUGCGGUGAAUACGUUCCCGGGCCUUGCACACACCGCCCGUCA